UUCAUAUUGACUACUGAAUGUUGAUAUAGUCGAUGUCUACGAGCCACAUCGGCAAAUAAAUAUAACAGCACAUCACUUUUAUUUUAGUAGCCUAUAUUACUUGCUUUUAAUAACAAAAGUCCAACUGAUUUAAUGUGGUUAUCUUUUUUUUAAGGUAAGUACAAUAAAAAUAGCAACUUAUUCCCUAUUUACCAGGAAACUCUUACAUUUGCGGACAUAUUUGAAGUGGUGCUUUGCAAUUUAUUUACUUUUAUUUCAAAUGACAUGACCACAAAGCAGCACGCUAUUUGUUUAUUUUUAAUAGGUGUUAUCAUUGGUAGAAUAAAACUUUGCAACAUGUGUAAACACAAGUAUUUUAGCCAAAUAUAAUUUAUGCAAUGGAAAACCAGAAUGAAACAACAGCAGAUAUCAGCUCCCGCUAAAGAAAAAGACGACUACAUGCGUAGGCUACUGCACAGGUGUAGAGCGCGCGGCCGUCUGCAGGAGGUUUGCUGGAACGCGAUCCUGAGGUGAUAUUUCUUUAAGAGGUUUUAAAAACUUUCUACCCUGUGGAUUACGGCUGCGAGUGAUGUGAGCAGGAUCCGCAUGCUGGAUAAGAACAGCAUUUGUGAGACGACAUCAACUCAACAUUCGAGUGGACAAGAACACCAACAGAGGAAGCCAGCCGCAAAAACAACGAAUAAUUGUCAUGACUUUUUAUUUGAAAUAAAAGUUAUGUGAUAAUAAACAA
Misgurnus anguillicaudatus (oriental weatherfish) is the source of this 730-nucleotide non-coding RNA. The record is from RefSeq and is a predicted model, not a curated record. NCBI's taxonomy places the organism in Eukaryota, Metazoa, Chordata, Actinopteri, Cypriniformes, Cobitidae.